Long non-coding RNA from Asparagus officinalis (garden asparagus), 918 nucleotides. RefSeq lists it as uncharacterized. Lineage: Eukaryota; Viridiplantae; Streptophyta; Magnoliopsida; Asparagales; Asparagaceae. The record is from RefSeq and is a predicted model, not a curated record. The transcript is spliced from 3 exons.
AAAGGCUUCGUGACCAUUCUCUCUCUCCCAAUUCCAAAACACUUAUCCCAAAUUCCAUCCCCAUCGCCGACUUCCCCCAAAUCCAUCCCCGUCACCGCUAACCGAACCCUCCCCCAACUCCGGAGUCCCCGUCACCGCCGACCAACCUCCUCCAUCAACGCAGUAAAGCCCUCGACUCCUCCCCCAACUCCGGCUCCCCGUCACCGCCGACCGACCUCCUUCAUCAUAACAGUCAAGCCACCGACUCCUCCCCCAACUCCGGCUCCAAGUCACCGCCGACCGACCUCCUCCAUCAAGCCAUCAAGCCACCGACCUCUCCCCCAACUCCGGCUCCAAGUCACCGCCGGUCAUUAAAGAUUUUGGCAGCGUUAUAAAUUGUUCGCCAAGGUGCAGAUGUGAUGCCCAGGAGCCAGCUUAAUGACGUUUUGGAUGCUGAACUAGGUCCUGAUUGGUCGUCUAAGUUAAGGAGUUUUGAUUAUGAGCCUCUCGCUGCAGCAAUUAUUGAACAGAGAAAAAGAUUGAUGAUCUACAUAAUCGUUCUGGACCUUGCAGAGUAAAAGGCAAAAGUGUGGUUCGUUUUUGGGCUGGUGCAAGAUUUCCUCAAUUGAACAAAUACCACUCUUUAUUGCCCCACCAGAGGCACAUGACUUGGUUGUUGUACGUGAAAAAGUGUUGUAGAAAUGGCUAACUAUUAUAGCUUUUUUGUUGUCUUUUUGUUUAGCCAUGAAAGAAAUUAUAUGAUAUGAUGUAACUUGAUGUGCUGGAAUGAAACAAGACUUUGUAAGUGAGGAAAAUACUUUGAUGGCCUAUGGACAUGUAAAGGCAUUGUAUUUUGUGAAGGCAUUGUAAGUGAGGAAAAUACUUUGAUGGCCUAUGUACUUUGAUGUGCUGGAAUGAAACAAGAAAUUAUGUUAUGUA